This is a non-coding RNA of Bombyx mori (domestic silkworm), 84 nucleotides long. Lineage: Eukaryota; Metazoa; Arthropoda; Insecta; Lepidoptera; Bombycidae. The record is from Rfam.
UUAUCUCAAAUUUGUAUGGAGUUGAAAAGUUUGCGUACGUUUGCCGCUAGGGGCGCUGUUCCAACUGCAUACAAAUUUGAGUAA